This 2060-nucleotide ribosomal RNA is filed under the name Shigella flexneri. RNAcentral describes it as "partial 23S ribosomal RNA". It matches the Rfam family "Bacterial large subunit ribosomal RNA", at positions 900 to 2925 of the family's 2925-position model. The record is from RNAcentral. Lineage: Bacteria; Pseudomonadati; Pseudomonadota; Gammaproteobacteria; Enterobacterales; Enterobacteriaceae.
GGGUAGAGCACUGUUUCGGCAAGGGGGUCAUCCCGACUUACCAACCCGAUGCAAACUGCGAAUACCGGAGAAUGUUAUUACGGGAGACACACGGCGGGUGCUAACGUCCGUCGUGAAGAGGGAAACAACCCAGACCGCCAGCUAAGGUCCCAAAGUCAUGGUUAAGUGGGAAACGAUGUGGGAAGGCCCAGACAGCCAGGAUGUUGGCUUAGAAGCAGCCAUCAUUUAAAGAAAGCGUAAUAGCUCACUGGUCGAGUCGGCCUGCGCGGAAGAUGUAACGGGGCUAAACCAUGCACCGAAGCUGCGGCAGCGACGCUUAUGCGUUGUUGGGUAGGGGAGCGUUCUGUAAGCCUGUGAAGGUGUGCUGUGAGGUAUGCUGGAGGUAUCAGAAGUGCGAAUGCUGACAUAAGUAACGAUAAAGCGGGUGAAAAGCCCGCUCGCCGGAAGACCAAGGGUUCCUGUCCAACGUUAAUCGGGGCAGGGUGAGUCGACCCCUAAGGCGAGGCCGAAAGGCGUAGUCGAUGGGAAACAGGUUAAUAUUCCUGUACUUGGUGUUACUGCGAAGGGGGGACGGAGAAGGCUAUGUUGGCCGGGCGACGGUUGUCCCGGUUUAAGCGUGUAGGCUGGUUUUCCAGGCAAAUCCGGAAAAUCAAGGCCGAGGCGUGAUGACGAGGCACUACGGUGCUGAAGCAACAAAUGCCCUGCUUCCAGGAAAAGCCUCUAAGCAUCAGGUAACAUCAAAUCGUACCCCAAACCGACACAGGUGGUCAGGUAGAGAAUACCAAGGCGCUUGAGAGAACUCGGGUGAAGGAACUAGGCAAAAUGGUGCCGUAACUUCGGGAGAAGGCACGCUGAUACGUAGGUGAAGCGACUUGCUCGUGGAGCUGAAAUCAGUCGAAGAUACCAGCUGGCUGCAACUGUUUAUUAAAAACACAGCACUGUGCAAACACGAAAGUGGACGUAUACGGUGUGACGCCUGCCCGGUGCCGGAAGGUUAAUUGAUGGGGUUAGCGCAAGCGAAGCUCUUGAUCGAAGCCCCGGUAAACGGCGGCCGUAACUAUAACGGUCCUAAGGUAGCGAAAUUCCUUGUCGGGUAAGUUCCGACCUGCACGAAUGGCGUAAUGAUGGCCAGGCUGUCUCCACCCGAGACUCAGUGAAAUUGAACUCGCUGUGAAGAUGCAGUGUACCCGCGGCAAGACGGAAAGACCCCGUGAACCUUUACUAUAGCUUGACACUGAACAUUGAGCCUUGAUGUGUAGGAUAGGUGGGAGGCUUUGAAGUGUGGACGCCAGUCUGCAUGGAGCCGACCUUGAAAUACCACCCUUUAAUGUUUGAUGUUCUAACGUGGACCCGUGAUCCGGGUUGCGGACAGUGUCUGGUGGGUAGUUUGACUGGGGCGGUCUCCUCCUAAAGAGUAACGGAGGAGCACGAAGGUUGGCUAAUCCUGGUCGGACAUCAGGAGGUUAGUGCAAUGGCAUAAGCCAGCUUGACUGCGAGCGUGACGGCGCGAGCAGGUGCGAAAGCAGGUCAUAGUGAUCCGGUGGUUCUGAAUGGAAGGGCCAUCGCUCAACGGAUAAAAGGUACUCCGGGGAUAACAGGCUGAUACCGCCCAAGAGUUCAUAUCGACGGCGGUGUUUGGCACCUCGAUGUCGGCUCAUCACAUCCUGGGGCUGAAGUAGGUCCCAAGGGUAUGGCUGUUCGCCAUUUAAAGUGGUACGCGAGCUGGGUUUAGAACGUCGUGAGACAGUUCGGUCCCUAUCUGCCGUGGGCGCUGGAGAACUGAGGGGGGCUGCUCCUAGUACGAGAGGACCGGAGUGGACGCAUCACUGGUGUUCGGGUUGUCAUGCCAAUGGCACUGCCCGGUAGCUAAAUGCGGAAGAGAUAAGUGCUGAAAGCAUCUAAGCACGAAACUUGCCCCGAGAUGAGUUCUCCCUGACCCUUUAAGGGUCCUGAAGGAACGUUGAAGACGACGACGUUGAUAGGCCGGGUGUGUAAGCGCAGCGAUGCGUUGAGCUAACCGGUACUAAUGAACCGUGAGGCUUAACCUUACAACGCCGAAG